GAUGAACGCUGGCGGCGUGCCUAACACAUGCAAGUCGAACGAUGAAACCGCCCUCGGGCGGACAUGAAGUGGCGAACGGGUGAGUAACACGUGACCAACCUGCCCCUUGCUCCGGGACAACCUUGGGAAACCGAGGCCAAUACCGGAUACUCCUCGCCCCCCUCCUGGGGGGCCCGGGAAAGCCCAGACGGCAAGGGAUGGGGUCGCGGCCCAUUAGGUAGUAGGCGGGGUAACGGCCCACCUAGCCCGCGAUGGGUAGCCGGGUUGAGAGACCGGCCGGCCACAUUGGGACUGAGAUACGGCCCAGACUCCUACGGGAGGCAGCAGUGGGGAAUUUUGCGCAAUGGGGGAAACCCUGACGCAGCAACGCCGCGUGCGGGACGACGGCCUUCGGGUUGUAAACCGCUUUCAGCAGGGAAGAAAUUCGACGGUA
Molecule: ribosomal RNA, 433 nt
Filed under: uncultured bacterium
Lineage: Bacteria
Description: bacterial SSU rRNA
Rfam family: Bacterial small subunit ribosomal RNA
Source: RNAcentral